AGUGCAGUUGCUGGAUCCUAUGGUAAGUGUAUGUUUAGUUUUGUAAGAAACUGCCAAAUUGUCUUUCAAAGUGGCUGUACCAUCUCCCAUUCUCAGCAGG
Molecule: microRNA precursor, 100 nt
Filed under: Marmota monax (woodchuck)
Lineage: Eukaryota; Metazoa; Chordata; Mammalia; Rodentia; Sciuridae
Source: RNAcentral